GUGCUCACUUUGGCAGCACAUAUACUUUAAAAAAAAAAGGAACGAUACGGAGAAGAUUAGCACGGCCCCUGUGCAAGGAUGACACGCAAAUUCGUGAAGAAUUCCAUAUUAAA
This 113-nucleotide small nuclear RNA is filed under the name Peromyscus maniculatus bairdii (prairie deer mouse). The record is from RNAcentral. Lineage: Eukaryota; Metazoa; Chordata; Mammalia; Rodentia; Cricetidae.